Molecule: long non-coding RNA, 5409 nt
Filed under: Capsicum annuum
Lineage: Eukaryota; Viridiplantae; Streptophyta; Magnoliopsida; Solanales; Solanaceae
Description: long non-coding RNA (CANN_LNC013990)
Source: RNAcentral
UGGUUUUCUGAAUCGGCAAAUAAUAACCUUGCUCUCGUCCUUGGACGUUAAGGAUGAAAUAUUUUGGGAAAUGCAGAAAGAAAUGCAUUGGACUCUCAUCUUUGUGCACCGUCAUUGCUACCUGCAUACAUAACUGUUCUAACAAAAUGAUCACACAGGCAUUAAUCAAAAGCUACAAGGAGAUGAAAUAUCGCUGUAUUGAGCACGUUUAUGUUUUUAUUCGAUGUGACCCUUGCACGCGGCUUGUCCAACCUGUCCAACAGGAGCGAAAAGGAAGGUAGUGGUGGGAGGAUUUCAAGGCUGAGUAUGGCUCACGUAAGGGCAACAUCUAGGAUGAAAGCCUGAUUGGAAAUGGAAAUAUCACUGACCAUGCUAAUGGUAAUGCUUCUUUUUCUGAUAUUUUCGACAUCCAGGACAUUGUAAGCUUGAGUAAGCCUGGAAUUCAGAACCUACCGAAGUUGAAAAAUCGAAGUGAGCCUUGGCUUGUUGUUCUUUAUGCACCUUGGUGCUGCUUUUGCCAUGUAAUUUAUCUUCUCAUCAAUAAUUUUUCUUUCUCCACUGAAACUUAUCCAAGAUUCGAAUUUGAUUAGUUCAACGUUUAAGGUUCUCACCACUGGAUUCAUCUGAGCCAUUGCAUAUAUGUUGCAUUCGCUUCUACUUCAUAGCCGAAUGGUAUUUAGGGAUUAUCUUGAUGAUCUUGUUUCUGAUUUUGUACAGGCAAUGGAAGCUUGGCGAGUUAUGGCAUGAAAGUAGCGAAAUAAAGGGCAGGUGGUGAGCAGAAAGCAUUUUCCCAACAACAAUUCCAGGUUGCAAGCUUCCCUGCAAUACUUUUCUUCUCUAGACAUUCUUCACAACCCAUUAAGCUGUGUUGCUCGGACUCUUCAAUAGUGUCAAUGGAUGUGUGUCGGAUUCACCAAAACUAGUGUAUUUUUGGAGAACUCGAACGAUUACGGCAUCAAAAGUGAAGAGUUCACAAAACUUAGCCAUUAAGUAUCCGUCGGAGAAGAGGGAUGUAGAUUCCAUGCUGGCUUUUGUGAAUGCUCUCAGGUAAAAGACUGUUUUUACAUAUCUUGUUUCGAGGCUAUUCAGCAAUACCAAAAGUUGCACGCAAGCUGAUUUAGAUGCAACGGGUUAUCAAGAAAAAAUGGACUUCUGGUUGUCAGAAGUUAGGUAGUAAAGUAUAUUGUCCUCUUUUUUCUUUUUCCUUUUUAUAUCCAUCUUUGAUCAUGACUUGAUUCUAGGAAUUUUGUUGUUUGAAUCAAUAUAAAGGGGCUUUUUUUUUGAGCGGCCUCUUGAAAAAAUAUAGGGUAAGAAUGCAUACAAUAGACCCUUAUGGUUCGGGUAUAUUAUGAAGCCCGUACAUACCCAGAAGCUUAGUACACUAGGCUACCCUUUAGUUUGUUUUGGUUGCUUCUUGAUUAUGCAAAAUCUUGGAUAUUUUUUGGCUAUGGCUACCUCGUUAUGACUUCACUUCAGUCACUAGCCCUGCCUUUGGCAACCCCACCUCGCAGUUAAGGUAAUGGAUUCUUAUAAAGAGGAUGUUGUUUGAUAAACUUAUAUGAUCCGAGAAGAAAUUCUCUACAUUAUUAUGCACAGUAAGUUAACAUUGUAUCCAAGUCCUCAAAUUUGUUCUUAUAUAUGUUGGAUUAUAUUCUUGGACAUCUAAUUGGAACUUGCUUGCUCUAGAAACUUUGACAUGUUAAUACCAAGUCUCAUUAAUCAUAAAAGUUCAAAGUAGUUAGAAUGAUUGUUUCAGUAUUUAAAUUCUUACUUCGUGUAAUUUUUACUUAGAAACAAGGAUUUGUUCGAGCUUUGUUGCUUCAUGUUGUGCGGCCUAACAGGCACAUACGCUUCACCUGCGCACUAGCUCAUACUGCAAGAGAAGAUCUUCUCUCGGCGACUAUUGAAAAAUUAAUGAUCCAAGCGAGAGUAAAAUGUUGUUGUUCUCUAGAUAGGUGAUUAAUAGGGGUGUACAUAGGUCGGGUUGGUUUGUUUUUUAUUUAAAAAAAAAAAAUCAAUUAUGUCGGUUUACUAAAACUAUAAAUCAAAUCAAACCAACAUAAAAUUGAUUUUUUCGGUUUAGGUUUUAGUCGAUUUUUUCGGGUUUUUCGUUUUUUUUAUUUUUUUUUUAUUUUUUUUUUAAUAAUCUUUAGUUUUUACAAUUAUAUUGUGAUCGAAUACUAGAUCAAAUAUGUUUUCACUCACGUGCUAAUGAAAAACCAUAAUUAUGAAAAAAUGAGGAGCGAAAAACUCUCUUGAAACUAAAAAGUGAGAUGAAGAGUGAAAAGUUUAGUUUUAAGUUUAUAUUGGGUUUUGGUAGGGCUGUUCAAAACCGAACUGUAUUCGAUAAGCCAUCCGUAAAAUUAACUUAUUGGCUUAUUGGUAUUGGCUUAUCGGAUAAAUGGUUGGUGAACGGAUUAAAUUUUUUUAAUUAACGGCUUAUUGGUGAGGGGGUGAAUUACACAAUUUUCUUAUUGGAUAAAUCGUUAACCCGUUAAGAAUUACCAUAUAUACUUAUAUUUUUCACCUAGAUAUAUAAAAUAUAUAUUAUAUUAUAUUAUAGUAAAAUUUAAACUCAAACCUAAUGGAACUAAAUUCUAACCUAAAGUCCAUCCCUAAUUAACCCUAAACAUUAAAGUACGUACUAACUAGUAACUACUAAAGUUAUUAUUUAUUCAAGUACAAAAGAUCAAAACUCAUAACCUGUUCAUUGCUUUGGUUUGCUUUGCCGAUUCAAAUCAAAAGUACUCAACAGUAGCCAAAGCUUUAAAGAGAUUUAGCACUAGUAUUUCUGUUGUCAGUGUCAUUGUGAAAAGAAAAGAAUGUUAUAUUCUGUUUUGUUUUCUGGUUUUGAGACGCAUUCAAGCAGAAAUUGUGGAUGUCCGAUAAACCGUCCGAUAACCACCCGAUAAUUGUUUAUCCCUUACCAAACCAACCGAUAUCUUAUCGGUUGGCUAGUGGAUUUGUAUAUUUUAUAAUCGAUAACCGUUAAGUCAAACCGUUAAGUGUAAUGGUCCAUCCGAUCCAUUCGAUAAGCAGACCUAGGUUUUGGAUCAUUUAAUUAAUAAUUAAUGGACAAAUAUUACAAUUUAAAGGCCCAAAUUUAAAUAUAUAUCUACAUCUACUUUCAAAUUAUUGAAAAUUACCAAAACUAGUUGAAAAAGUAUUUAAAAAAUAGAUUAUAAUUAAUAUUUUAUGUAUAAAUAGUUCGAAUAUAUAUAUAUAUAUAUAUAUUAUGUCGGUUUGAUUCGGAUUCGAUUUGACUUUUUUUUUGUUAACAUCAAACCAAAUCAAGAAUGGUCGGGUUUUUUUUUCUAACACCAAACCAAUCAAAUCAAACCAUAAGUUAGUUUUUUUUCUCGGUUUGAUUUGGUUCGUCAAUUCGGUUUGACUUGACGGUUUAGUCUGUACACCCCUAGUGAUCACAGUAACAUAUUAGACAGUUGUAUGUCAUGCAAAAAUUCUGCUUGCUGCCUCUUUGUAUGCUGUUUUUCGUUAAGACCUUCGGAUAUGUAAGAUUUUAGGGGAUGAUGACGAUAUCUAAUUUAUCUAAAUUUAAUUCCUGCUUUGAGUUACUGAUUAUUUAUAGAAGGUGUUCAAUGGGUUGAAUAAUGUGUAAUCUUUGCGUUAUUUGGUGUACUGAAUUUUGAGGUUUUUUUCAAGCUGAGAUUUCGAUGAUUGCUUUGAACCUCACAAUGGUACUUGCACAAUUUUAUUUUUCUGUACACUCUGGCUUCUGAGAUUAUGGCUUCAACUUACAAUUACUCGAUUCUGAUAGGUUUUGGGCACUCCACAUAAGCUUAAUGUUGUGCUUAGAGUUGACCUGUUUAGCUGUGUUUUUCUGGUCAACUAUGACUUCGAAUUCUUCCUCUUUCCGGCCACAAUUUCGUUAAUUUCUUUUCUAACAUUUUUGAAUUCAGAGAAAAGUGGAAAAUUGAAUUUUCUACUGUAUAGCUGCUGCAGUUCCAUGUAUUUCUGGAAAACAGAUGGUACAAGGGUGGGUUUAAGGAAAGGGUAAUUUAGUAGACAAAUAUUUUUUUACAAAAUUUAUAUAAAUAUAAAUUAUCUUUUAAUACAUCAAGUCAAACAUAACUAAUACUAACAUUACUAAUACUUAUAUUAAUAAUAUAAACAUUACAAAUACACCCUAUUUAAUAUUUAAUAUUAUUCUUAUACACUCUCCCAAACGACCCCGAGAAAACAACAUAUCACGUUUGCAAAUAGCCUCUCUUGAAACAAAGGGGUACUCUACAGAUUAAAGGGGGCGAAAAUAUAUAAUUUCCAGCGAACGAACAACACCAUCACGAUCAAACGUGCAUCAUACACCUUCAAAUCCAUUUUUCGGCACGAACGACAACUCAAGCUAGACGGAAAAUUAUAUACAGGAAUCCAUCUUCCAAAAUCAAUUAGGAUUUAAUUGGAACUUAACUGCAAACCCAUUUUAGAACCAAAAUCAUCUUUAUGCUCUAAGGUGAAACGUCCAUAACAAAUUUUCUGAAUGAAUCAUAAUUGCACGUUCAUAGAUCGAUGAGAUAAAAAUACAUAUAUGAAACAGACGAAGAACAAAAUCAAAAGGAGAAAAUCGCACCUUUUUCGGUGUAGCCAACUCGGGCUUCCGGUUAAGGAUUUUUCGGUGACAAACUCAACUCUGGGACUCGCAAUUCCUCCAUGGACCAAAAAAUGGAGAAAGAGAAAAAAGACAGUGAAUCCCAGCAACUUCAAUGCCUCCCUUUUUUAGCUUUCCCAACCCAUUUUUUCUCCAAUCUCGGCCCUUUUCCGGCCUUCUUUUACUCGAUUUCCUCCGCCUCUCCUCACGAGAUUUCUUUUUUUUUUCUUCAGACCCCUUUUUUGAUUCCCAAGAAAAAACCCGACCUCUGUUCAUACGAAUUGAACAAUGCGACCAUUUAUAGGUAAAUCUAGACUUGAAAGUCCGGAUUUGAAACUACAAAUUCAAAGAAACCAAUGGGCGAAUCGGGAAAUUAGAAUUCAAAAUUGGAAAGGGACAGAUCCUUCCUCAAUUUGGACGAUUUCCAGAACCUUAAUGCAGAUUUGAAUCAAAUUUUCCUUGUAUCACUAAUUUGGGGCUGACUUUUAUCUGAUUUUCGGACUCACAGGUUGGACUUGGCUGAGAAGGGGCGAAUAUUGUGCAGCGAUGGCAGGGUUGCGACAGCUAUUGCCGCUAGCCUCUCUGAUUUGGAUGAGAGAGAGGAGGUGGGAAGAGAAAGGGGAGCAUUGUUGUCGCUGAUUUUAGGUAUCUGGAUAGAGACCCUUCGACUAUUUUCCGGGGAGGCGAGAAUACGCGUGAACCAAAUAUUGGGAGUGACAAAGAGCACCUGUUUAUUUUGACUGAAAUGUGGAUCAGGUUUAAUAUAAGAAUAAAGAAAAAUUAAAGAGAAAAAGCUUUUUUUC